Molecule: ribosomal RNA, 1020 nt
Filed under: Triticum aestivum (bread wheat)
Lineage: Eukaryota; Viridiplantae; Streptophyta; Magnoliopsida; Poales; Poaceae
Description: partial small subunit ribosomal RNA
Source: RNAcentral
AUGACCAUCCACAGGGCUUUGCUCCUUGCCAUCCUGGGUUGCAUCUGCCUAUGCGGAACUGUCAUUGCAACUCGUGAGCUGAACAAUGAAUUGUCGGUGGUGGUGAAGCAUGUGAAAUGGAUGGUGCAGUACGGCCGCGUGUACAAGGACGCCACAGAGAAGGCGCGCCGGUUCAAGGUUUUCAAAGCCAGCGUUGAAUGCAUUGAAAGUUCAGCCCUGACUCACAUGUUCUGGCUCGGCGUCAACCAAUUCGCUGAUAUCACCAAUGAUGAGUUCAGGACAACCAACACAAACAAGGGGUUCAAAGAAAACUCCAUGAUAGUUCUUUCUUCAGGAUUCAAGUAUGAUAAUUUGUGUUUUGAUGCCCUUCCAGCAACGAUGGACUGGAGGGCCAAGGGAGCUAUCACCCCUAUCAAGGAUCAAGGCUAGUGCAGCUAUUGUUGGGCAUUUUCUGUUGUUGCCGCGACAGAGGGUAUUGUAAAACUGAAAAGACGCAAGUUAAUCUCACUGUCGGAGCAAGAGUUGGUUGACUGUGAUAUUCAUGCUGAAGAUCAAGGCUGCGAGGGAGGACUCAUGGAUGAUGCCUUGAAAUUCAUUAUCAAGAACUGAGGUCUUACCAUGGAGUCCAGCUACACAUAUAAUGCAACUGAUGGCAAGUGCAAGGCUGGAUCCAAUAGUGCUGCAACCAGCACCGGCUUUGAGGAUGUGCCUGCCAAUAAUGAGGGUGCCCUUAUGAUGGCAGUUGCAAACCACCCAGUGUCUGUAGCUGUCGACGAAGACGACAUGACAUUCCAAUUCUACUCAGGUGAGGUGAUGACUAGCUCAUGCAUCACUGAUUUGGACCAUGGAAUUGCAGCCAUUGGAUAUGGAAAGACUAGUGAUGUCACAAGUUAUUGGUUAAUGAAGAAUUCAUGGGGCACAACUUGGGGCGAAGAUGGGUAACUGAGAAUGCAGAAGGACAUUGCAGACAAGAAGGGCAUGUGUGGUCUUGCCAUGGAGCCUUCGUACCCCACCAAAUAG